Long non-coding RNA from Pogonomyrmex barbatus (red harvester ant), 502 nucleotides. NCBI's taxonomy places the organism in Eukaryota, Metazoa, Arthropoda, Insecta, Hymenoptera, Formicidae. The record is from RefSeq and is a predicted model, not a curated record.
CUCUCUCUCUUCCCUAUCUCUCUCCGACUCACUCACUCGUUCUUUUCUGCAGCGGUGGUAGUUGAUCGUGGAUCGCGCUCGUGGUAACUACUGUGUCAUUCGCCGUCAGCAACAAACAUGUCGUAGAGUAAUAUUCAUUCUGGAGAACCCCGAAGCGUUAAUGCGAUCGUAUGUGCCUGAAAUUGAAAUGAAUAUUAUGUUGAUCACGUGACCGUAUGGAUGGCAAGAAAAUGACGGAAUGAUCGAUAGCAUCGAACGCUGAUUGACGAUAAAGAAAGAAACAUCCGUCUAUGGUCUACGAUAUACAUUUAUCCGGCAAAAUGCCAAAUUCGUUGUAUCGGGUUAUUUCUUCGACACGGCACGCACGAGGAUGAUUUUUUUCAAAGCAGAUUCACGUGUCAGACUAAAUUCGAAUGUUAGAUUAUCUUGAACAUCUUGAAGUCAUAACCACAACUUUUUCUAUCGCAUCACAUUCUGCUCAUUAAUAAACACUAAUUUCUAA